AUUGAACGCUGGCGGCAGGCCUAACACAUGCAAGUCGAGCGGAUGAAGGGAGCUUGCUCCUGGAUUCAGCGGCGGACGGGUGAGUAAUGCCUAGGAAUCUGCCUGGUAGUGGGGGAUAACGUCCGGAAACGGGCGCUAAUACCGCAUACGUCCUGAUGGAGAAAGUGGGGGAUCUUCGGACCUCACGCUAUCAGAUGAGCCUAGGUCGGAUUAGCUAGUUGGUGGGGUAAAGGCCUACCAAGGCGACGAUCCGUAACUGGUCUGAGAGGAUGAUCAGUCACACUGGAACUGAGAAACGGUCCAGACUCCUACGGGAGGCAGCAGUGGGGAAUAUUGGACGAUGGGCGAGAGCCUGAUCCAGCCAUGCCGCGUGUGUGAAGAAGGUCUUCGGAUUGUAAAGCACUUUAAGUUGGGAGGAAGGGCAGUAAGUUAAUACCUUGCUGUUUUGACGUUACCAACAGAAUAAGCACCGGCUAACUUCGUG
This 484-nucleotide ribosomal RNA is filed under the name uncultured bacterium. RNAcentral's name for it is "partial 16S ribosomal RNA". It matches the Rfam family "Bacterial small subunit ribosomal RNA", at positions 30 to 507 of the family's 1533-position model. The record is from RNAcentral.